Molecule: small nuclear RNA, 137 nt
Organism: Callithrix jacchus (white-tufted-ear marmoset)
Lineage: Eukaryota; Metazoa; Chordata; Mammalia; Primates; Cebidae
Gene: U4
Rfam family: U4 spliceosomal RNA
About the family: U4 small nuclear RNA (U4 snRNA) is a component of the major U2-dependent spliceosome.
Source: Ensembl
AGCUUUGUGUGGCAGUAUCAUAGUCAAUGAGUUUUAUCCGAGGCGCGAUUAAUGGAAUUGAAAACUUUUUCCAAAACCCCACUAGGACGAGGUAAAAUUUAGCCAGCACUCGCAAUUUUUGGCCAUCGCUAUGGGGA